AAAGCUGGCGGCAUGCCUAUAAUGCAAGUCGAGCGGAAUGACGAGAGCUUGCUCUCUGAUUUUAGCGGCGGACGGGUGAGUAACACGUGGGCAACCUGCCCUACAGAUGGGGAUAACUCCGGGAAACUGGGGCUAAUACCGAAUAAUCAGUUUGUCCGCAUGGACAAACUCUGAAAGACGGUUUCGGCUGUCACUGUAGGAUGGGCCCGCGGCGCAUUGGCUAGUUGGUGGGGUAAUGGCCUACCAAGGCAACGAUGCGUAGCCGACCUGAGAGGGUGAUCGGCCACACUGGGACUGAGACACGGCCCAGACUCUUACGGGAGGCAGCAGUAGGGAAUCUUCCACAAUGGACGAAAGUCUGAUGGAGCAAUGCCGCGUGAGCGAAGAAGGUUUUCGGAUCGUAAAGCUCUGUUGUAAGGGAAGAACACGUACGGGAGUAACUGCCCGUGCCAUGACGGUACCUUAUUAGAAAGCCACGGCUAACUACGUGCCAGCAGCCGCGGUAAU
Molecule: ribosomal RNA, 507 nt
Filed under: uncultured bacterium
Lineage: Bacteria
Description: bacterial SSU rRNA
Rfam family: Bacterial small subunit ribosomal RNA
Source: RNAcentral